GGAGGGAUGGCUGAGCGGUUGAAAGCACGGUCUUGAAAACCGGCAAGGGUUAAUAGCCCUUCUAGGUGUCAAAUCCCUAGCCCUCCUCCA
RNAcentral lists this transfer RNA (90 nucleotides) under Salinivibrio sp. SS2. RNAcentral describes it as "tRNA-Ser". It matches the Rfam family "tRNA". Rfam says of the family: Transfer RNA (tRNA) molecules are approximately 80 nucleotides in length. Their secondary structure includes four short double-helical elements and three loops (D, anti-codon, and T loops). Further hydrogen bonds mediate the characteristic L-shaped molecular structure. tRNAs have two regions of fundamental functional importance: the anti-codon, which is responsible for specific mRNA codon recognition, and the 3' end, to which the tRNAs corresponding amino acid is attached (by aminoacyl-tRNA synthetases). tRNAs cope with the degeneracy of the genetic code in two manners: having more than one tRNA (with a specific anti-codon) for a particular amino acid; and 'wobble' base-pairing, i.e. permitting non-standard base-pairing at the 3rd anti-codon position. Lineage: Bacteria; Pseudomonadati; Pseudomonadota; Gammaproteobacteria; Vibrionales; Vibrionaceae. The record is from RNAcentral.